UGCCGUGAUGUCGUAAUUUGCGUCUGACUCUGUGCCCGGUGACAGUUGCCUGCUGUCGGUGAGCUGGGACAGAGGGCUGAUGAACAACGAACGCUGAGCA
This 100-nucleotide small nucleolar RNA is filed under the name Calidris pugnax (ruff). RNAcentral describes it as "Small nucleolar RNA SNORD16 (ENSCPUG00000017233.1)". It matches the Rfam family "Small nucleolar RNA SNORD16". Rfam says of the family: U16 is a member of the C/D class of snoRNA which contain the C (UGAUGA) and D (CUGA) box motifs. Lineage: Eukaryota; Metazoa; Chordata; Aves; Charadriiformes; Scolopacidae. The record is from RNAcentral.